CUGGUUGAUCCUGCCAGAGGUCACUGCUAUCGGGGUUCGAUUAAGCCAUGCGAGUCGAGAGGGUUCAGACCCUCGGCGGACUGCUCAGUAACACGUGGAUAACCUGCCCUAAGGUGGAGCAUAACCCCGGGAAACUGGGGAUAAUACUCCAUAGGUUAGAGAUACUGGAAUGUUCUUUAAUCGAAAGUUCCGGCGCCUUAGGAUGGAUCUGCGGCCGAUUAGGUAGUUGUUGGGGUAACGGCCCAACAAGCCUGUAAUCGGUACGGGUUGUGGGAGCAAGAGCCCGGAGAUGGAAUCUGAGACACGAUUCCAGGCCCUACGGGGCGCAGCAGGCGCGAAAACUUUACAAUGCAGGAAACUGUGAUAAGGGAACCCCGAGUGCCCGUAUACGCGGGCUGUCCGGGUGUAUAAAAAGCAUCUGAAGAAAGGGCCGGGCAAGACCGGUGCCAGCCGCCGCGGUAAUACCGGCGGCUCGAGUGGUGACCACUUUUAUUGGGCUUAAAGCGUUCGUAGCUGGACUCUUAAGUCUCUUGGGAAAUCCCGCGGCUCAACCGUGGGGCGUUUAAGAGAUACUGGGAGUCUAGGAACCGGGAGAGGUAAGAGGUACUUCGGGGGUAGAAGUGAAAUGCUGUAAUCCUCGAGGGACCACCGAUGGCUGAUGCAUCUUACCACAACGGCUUCGACAGUGAGGAACGAAAGCUGGGGGAGCGAACGGGAUUAGAUACCCCGGUAGUCCCAGCCAUAAACGAUGCGCGUUAGGUGUACUGGUGACCACGAGUCACUGGGGUGCCGAAGGGAAACCGUGAAACGUGCCACCUGGGAAGUACGGUCGCAAGGCUGAAACUUUAAGGAAUUGGCGGGGGAGCACCAC
RNAcentral lists this ribosomal RNA (871 nucleotides) under uncultured archaeon. RNAcentral describes it as "bacterial SSU rRNA". It matches the Rfam family "Archaeal small subunit ribosomal RNA", at positions 4 to 882 of the family's 1478-position model. The record is from RNAcentral.